CUGGCAGCAGUAGCCUGCUGAGAUAAGCAAGCACAACACGCAGUAUUUACAUGUACUGUCCUGGCUUUCCCAUUAAAAUGUUUGUAGUACAGUACAGAAACGUGGAUGUGCUUACUGUGCAGAUCUCCAUAAAAUUACUUCCUUGCUCAGCUGGAGUAUUGUGGAAAUCGACUGAAGACAUCGGGCCUGGAGAUCAAAAGAAAAUAUUGAAUAUCACUCAGAUUGGCACACUGAGAGGAGACACAGAGAAUCACCAUGGAGGAGGACAAGAAUUUUCUAAAAGCAUAUUCAAGAAAGGAUGAAGCCAAAAUACUUUUGCAUCUAAAAAUCAUCUACUACAGUGACAAGAACAAUUAUGGAAACAAUUAUCACGGGGAGGAACAGUGAUACUGAGGCCUAAGUUGCUCUGCAUGAGUCUAGUUUUACAGCGGUUAAGCUUCAAUAAAAUCAACCACAGUAACA
This 462-nucleotide long non-coding RNA is filed under the name Struthio camelus australis. RNAcentral describes it as "lncRNA (ENSSCUG00000004673.1)". The record is from RNAcentral. Lineage: Eukaryota; Metazoa; Chordata; Aves; Struthioniformes; Struthionidae.